CGCUGGCGGUGCGCCUUAUGCAUGCAAGUCGAGCGAAGCUUUUCAGUAGUUUACUACAGAAAAUGACUGAGCGGCGAACGGGUGAGUAACGCGUGAGCAAUCUACCUUAGUUACAGGGAUAGCCCGAGGAAACUCGGAUUAAUACCUGAUAUUCUUUACAUUUCGCAUGAAAUCAAAAGGAAAGGUCAGCCGAACUAAGAUGAGCUCGCGUUCUAUCAGCUAGUUGGUGAGGUAAAAGCUCACCAAGGCAACGACGGAUAGCUGGUCUGAGAGGACGAUCAGCCACACUGGGACUGAGACACGGCCCAGACUCCUACGGGAGGCUGCAGCAGGGAAUAUUGCGCAAUGAGCGAAAGCUUGACGCAGCGACACCGCGUGUGGGAUGACGGAUCUAGGUUUGUAAACCACUUUCAGGAGGGAAGAAAAUGACGGUACCUCCACAAGAAGCCCCGGCCAACUACGUGCCAGCAGCCGCGGUAAUACGUAGGGGGCGAGCGUUGUCCGGAUUUAUUGGGCGUAAAGAGCUCGUAGGCGGUUCAACAAGUCGGUCGUAAAAGUUCAGGGCUCAACCCUGAAAUGUCGAUCGAUACUGUUGUGACUAGGAUACGGUAGAGGUGAGUGGAAUUCCGAGUGUAGCGGUGAAAUGCGUAGAUAUUCGGAGGAACACCAAUUGCGAAGGCAGCUCACUGGGCCGCUAUCGACGCUGAGGAGCGAAAGCUAGGGGAGCAAACAGGAUUAGAUACCCUGGUAGUCCUAGCUGUAAACGAUGGAUACUAGACGUAGGAACUGGAUUGACGGUUUCUGUGUCGUAGCUAACGCGUUAAGUAUCCCGCC
This 834-nucleotide ribosomal RNA is filed under the name uncultured bacterium. Its description in RNAcentral is "bacterial SSU rRNA". It matches the Rfam family "Bacterial small subunit ribosomal RNA", at positions 34 to 873 of the family's 1533-position model. The record is from RNAcentral.